Molecule: small RNA, 81 nt
Filed under: Marinobacterium lacunae
Lineage: Bacteria; Pseudomonadati; Pseudomonadota; Gammaproteobacteria; Oceanospirillales; Oceanospirillaceae
Description: Marinobacterium sp. AK27 Pseudomonas sRNA P9
Rfam family: Pseudomonas sRNA P9
About the family: P9 appears to be conserved in several Pseudomonas species in addition to Bordetella spp. In both Pseudomonas and Bordetella spp P9 appears to be located upstream of a predicted threonine dehydratase gene. P9 has a predicted Rho independent terminator at the 3' end but the function of P9 is unknown.
Source: Rfam by way of RNAcentral
CAGAUUAUUACCAUCAUUCCCUAGGAAUGGUGGGUGUCACUGCGUAGACAGCAUUUACAACCCGCCCAAGAGGCGGGUUUU